AAAGAAAAUUCGAUUCCCUUAGUAGCGGCGAGCGAAACGGGAAGAGCCCAAACCAACAAGCUUGCUUGUUGGGGUUGUAGGACACUCUAUACGGAGUUACAAAGGACGACAUUAGACGAAUCAUCUGGAAAGAUGAAUCAAAGAAGGUAAUAAUCCUGUAGUCGAAAAUGUUGUCUCUCUUGAGUGGAUCCUGAGUACGACGGAACACGUGAAAUUCCGUCGGAAUCUGGGAGGACCAUCUCCUAAGGCUAAAUACUCUCUAGUGACCGAUAGUGAACCAGUACCGUGAGGGAAAGGUGAAAAGCACCCCGGAAGGGGAGUGAAAUAGAACCUGAAACCGUGUGCUUACAAGUAGUCAGAGCCCGUUAAUGGGUGAUGGCGUGCCUUUUGUAGAAUGAACCGGCGAGUUACGAUUUGAUGCAAGGUUAAGCAGUAAAUGUGGAGCCGUAGCGAAAGCGAGUCUGAAUAGGGCGUUUAGUAUUUGGUCGUAGACCCGAAACCAGGUGAUCUACCCUUGGUCAGGUUGAAGUUCAGGUAACACUGAAUGGAGGACCGAACCGACUUACGUUGAAAAGUGAGCGGAUGAACUGAGGGUAGCGGAGAAAUUCCAAUCGAACCUGGAGAUAGCUGGUUCUCUCCGAAAUAGCUUUAGGGCUAGCCUCAAGUGAUGAUUAUUGGAGGUAGAGCACUGUUUGGACGAGGGGCCCCUCUCGGGUUACCGAAUUCAGACAAACUCCGAAUGCCAAUUAAUUUAACUUGGGAGUCAGAACAUGGGUGAUAAGGUCCGUGUUCGAAAGGGAAACAGCCCAGACCACCAGCUAAGGUCCCAAAAUAUAUGUUAAGUGGAAAAGGAUGUGGCGUUGCCCAGACAACUAGGAUGUUGGCUUAGAAGCAGCCAUCAUUUAAAGAGUGCGUAAUAGCUCACUAGUCGAGUGACACUGCGCCGAAAAUGUACCGGGGCUAAACAUAUUACCGAAGCUGUGGAUUGUCCUUUGGACAAUGGUAGGAGAGCGUUCUAAGGGCGUUGAAGCAUGAUCGUAAGGACAUGUGGAGCGCUUAGAAGUGAGAAUGCCGGUGUGAGUAGCGAAAGACGGGUGAGAAUCCCGUCCACCGAUUGACUAAGGUUUCCAGAGGAAGGCUCGUCCGCUCUGGGUUAGUCGGGUCCUAAGCUGAGGCCGACAGGCGUAUGCGAUGGAUAACAGGUUGAUAUUCCUGUACCACCUAUAAUCGUUUUAAUCGAUGGGGGGACGCAGUAGGAUAGGCGAAGCGUGCGAUUGGAUUGCACGUCUAAGCAGUAAGGCUGAGUAUUAGGCAAAUCCGGUACUCGUUAAGGCUGAGCUGUGAUGGGGAGAAGACAUUGUGUCUUCGAGUCGUUGAUUUCACACUGCCGAGAAAAGCCUCUAGAUAGAAAAUAGGUGCCCGUACCGCAAACCGACACAGGUAGUCAAGAUGAGAAUUCUAAGGUGAGCGAGCGAACUCUCGUUAAGGAACUCGGCAAAAUGACCCCGUAACUUCGGGAGAAGGGGUGCUCUUUAGGGUUAACGCCCAGAAGAGCCGCAGUGAAUAGGCCCAAGCGACUGUUUAUCAAAAACACAGGUCUCUGCUAAACCGUAAGGUGAUGUAUAGGGGCUGACGCCUGCCCGGUGCUGGAAGGUUAAGAGGAGUGGUUAGCUUCUGCGAAGCUACGAAUCGAAGCCCCAGUAAACGGCGGCCGUAACUAUAACGGUCCUAAGGUAGCGAAAUUCCUUGUCGGGUAAGUUCCGACCCGCACGAAAGGCGUAACGAUUUGGGCACUGUCUCAACGAGAGACUCGGUGAAAUCAUAGUACCUGUGAAGAUGCAGGUUACCCGCGACAGGACGGAAAGACCCCGUGGAGCUUUACUGUAGCCUGAUAUUGAAAUUCGGCACAGCUUGUACAGGAUAGGUAGGAGCCUUUGAAACGUGAGCGCUAGCUUACGUGGAGGCGCUGGUGGGAUACUACCCUAGCUGUGUUGGCUUUCUAACCCGCACCACUUAUCGUGGUGGGAGACAGUGUCAGGCGGGCAGUUUGACUGGGGCGGUCGCCUCCUAAAAGGUAACGGAGGCGCUCAAAGGUUCCCUCAGAAUGGUUGGAAAUCAUUCAUAGAGUGUAAAGGCAUAAGGGAGCUUGACUGCGAGACCUACAAGUCGAGCAGGGUCGAAAGACGGACUUAGUGAUCCGGUGGUUCCGCAUGGAAGGGCCAUCGCUCAACGGAUAAAAGCUACCCCGGGGAUAACAGGCUUAUCUCCCCCAAGAGUUCACAUCGACGGGGAGGUUUGGCACCUCGAUGUCGGCUCAUCGCAUCCUGGGGCUGUAGUCGGUCCCAAGGGUUGGGCUGUUCGCCCAUUAAAGCGGUACGCGAGCUGGGUUCAGAACGUCGUGAGACAGUUCGGUCCCUAUCCGUCGUGGGCGUAGGAAAUUUGAGAGGAGCUGUCCUUAGUACGAGAGGACCGGGAUGGACAUACCUCUGGUGUACCAGUUGUCGUGCCAACGGCAUAGCUGGGUAGCUAUGUGUGGACGGGAUAAGUGCUGAAAGCAUCUAAGCAUGAAGCCCCCCUCAAGAUGAGAUUUCCCAACUUCGGUUAUAAGAUCCCUCAAAGAUGAUGAGGUUAAUAGGUUCGAGGUGGAAGCAUGGUGACAUGUGGAGCUGACGAAUACUAAUCGAUCGAAGACUUAAUCAA
This 2700-nucleotide ribosomal RNA is filed under the name Staphylococcus aureus. Its description in RNAcentral is "partial 23S ribosomal RNA". It matches the Rfam family "Bacterial large subunit ribosomal RNA". The record is from RNAcentral. Lineage: Bacteria; Bacillati; Bacillota; Bacilli; Caryophanales; Staphylococcaceae.